RNAcentral lists this ribosomal RNA (267 nucleotides) under uncultured soil bacterium. RNAcentral's name for it is "partial 16S ribosomal RNA". It matches the Rfam family "Bacterial small subunit ribosomal RNA", at positions 26 to 281 of the family's 1533-position model. The record is from RNAcentral.
AGAAUCAACGCUGGCGGCGUGCCUAACACAUGCAAGUCGAACGCGAAAGGGGAGCAAUCCCUGAGUAGAGUGGCAAACGGGUGAGUAACACGUGGGUGACCUGCCUCAGAGUGGGGGAUAACGUCCCGAAAGGGACGCUAAUACCGCAUAACAUCCUGCCUUUGGAAAGGCGGAGAUCAAAGCCGGGAUCGCAAGACCUGGCGCUUGGAGAGGGGCCCGCGUCUGAUUAGCUAGUUGGUAGGGUAAUGGCCUACCAAGGCAACGAUC